GUUGCUGUGUGAUUGCUUGUUGUCUGCCCUUUUGUCACGUUGCCCUGUUUCCUUGCACCAUUUGGAUUUUGGUUUGGACAACCUCUGUUUUGGACUCUGUAUCAGCCACUCAACCGUGAGUGGAGAUGCAGCACUGUGAUGCUGCUUUCGACAUCCAGGGUAUUGGGACUGAAGUUGCAGUAACUUCAGGUACCAAAUCUGAUGACCUGUUGUCCCCUGACUGGGUACCAUUCAUCUUCACACACACAUACCAGCCAUUAAGAAGAGGAAAAGAGAGAAAGACAUGGAGAGGUAUGAGCGGUACAACAGAAUGAAGAACAAGAGGUGGGAGGAGAAGAAGGAUGCAGUGGAUGUCCUCCUAGAACUGUCAUCAAUGCCUGAUGCUGAGCCGGUGCCACUUGCUCAGGAAGAACAACAGUGUGACAACAGACCGGCAGGCAGACAUUAUUCAAUCAGGGACAUUUGAUGAACUGGCUUUUGAAAAACAUGAUAAAAAAGUGAAAGCAAUGACUGGAAUCCACAUAUUCCAAGUUAUAAGUAGUUUUAACAUUUGUGAUGUCAUUUCUACAGACUGGUACAAACCUCUCUCCCUUUUCAAUUUCAAUUCCAACUGCCAGCAGAACAUUUCAGAAUACCCUUGAGGUGUUAAAUGCAAGGCUUGUUCAGUGCCUAUGGUAUUUAGACAGGUCUUUCGCAGAUGCACCUGUAUUAAUGACUGUUUUGAGAUUUUUAUUGGAUAGCCUAGAGAUCUAAGAGCAUAGCACAGACAUACUCAAAAUACAAACAUCAUCUUACCAUGAAAUAUUUAAUUGGCAUAACACAACAAGGAACAUUUUGCAGCUUGGUUCUGUGGAAUUGGAGAUAACACGAGGGCUUGCAUCAGUACGGAUCCAUGUUGAGAGAGUUAUCGGUGAGGCAAGGAAUCAGUACACCAUACUUAAAAGUACAGUAGGAAUUCAAAUGUGUGAAGCUGAUACAUUACAAAUUUGUCAGUGCUAUGCACUGACAAAUUUGGCUCCCUCAGUUGUUCCCUUGGGCUAAACAUUAAAAUGGGUGUUGGUACACCAUUAAUGAAAUAAGGAUAUGAGAUGUCACUGAUAAAUUCAUACUUUUAUUGGAAAAUAACAAAUUUGAUGUUUGUUUGCAAAGUUCACAAAAAUCAUUUCAACAGUCAUUAAUUCUAGACAAUAACACCGUUUUCUAAAAAAGCUAGGGGAAAAAACAAGUAAAACCAAUGUUUACACAUAAUAAUAAUAAUAAUAAUAAGAUGCUAAUAUUUUUGUAUAUCGCUUCACAAACUGCCAUACUGCUCAUAUUUUUUAUUGUUCUUUUAUAUUUAGUCAAUUAUAUAAUAGACAUAUCCUCUCCCCCUGUAAUGUAUUUGUACAGCACAAAUCCAUGGAAAUGCACAUGUAUAUACCUGCCACAUUGUUUUUGUUUUUACACAUGGUUCUAUUGUUUUAUAACUUGCAAAUGUCUAUUGCAUAUUUAUAUAUUUUUACAUUUAUUUAUGUCAAGAUUUAUGUACAAAAAACUACAUUUAUAUACGGCACAAAGUAUGUGGCCUGUGUUGAAUACAACGCUUGAAACUUAUACUCUGUUCAGUUUUUUUCUGUUAUCCCUCCUUUGUUUGUCACGCAGUCGCUGCAUUUCCAACUUGACAUCUUCAAAUGUGUAGUGUUAAGUUUCAAGCAACUUUUGUGAAUGUACUGUCUUUUACAGAUUCCUGACUUAUACUCAAGUCUAUCGUCAUUAUGCAGGACAGGGACCCCGCAGUAACAGCCUUUGCAUUCAGAUGGUUUGGUAGUAUGUGAUAAUGGUAGAA
Molecule: long non-coding RNA, 1825 nt
Organism: Micropterus salmoides (largemouth bass)
Lineage: Eukaryota; Metazoa; Chordata; Actinopteri; Centrarchiformes; Centrarchidae
Exons: 3
Source: RefSeq, a predicted model, not a curated record